UGGGCAACCUACCUGUGAGACGGGGAUAACUCCGGGAAACCGGGGCUAAUACCGGAUAACGCAUCGAACCGCAUGGUUCGAUGAUCAAAGAUGGCUUCUUGCUAUCACUCACAGAUGGGCCCGCGGCGCAUUAGUUAGUUGGUGAGGUAAAGGCUCACCAAGGCGACGAUGCGUAGCCGACCUGAGAGGGUGAUCGGCCACACUGGGACUGAGACACGGCCCAGACUCCUACGGGAGGCAGCAGUAGGGAAUCAUCCGCAAUGGACGCAAGUCUGACGGUGCAACGCCGCGUGAGCGAUGAAGGUCUUCGGAUCGUAAAGCUCUGUUGUGAGGGAAGAACAAGUGCCGUUCGAAUAGGGCGGCACCUUGACGGUACCUCACCAGAAAGCCCCGGCUAACUACGUGCCAGCAGCCGCGGUAAUACGUAGGGGGCAAGCGUUGUCCGGAAUUAUUGGGCGUAAAGCGCGCGCAGGCGGUUCCUUAAGUCUGAUGUGAAAGGCCACAGCUCAACUGUGGAGGGCCAUUGGAAACUGGGGAACUUGAGGACAGAAGAGGAGAGCGGAAUUCCACGUGUAGCGGUGAAAUGCGUAGAUAUGUGGAGGAACACCAGUGGCGAAGGCGGCUCUCUGGUCUGUAACUGACGCUGAGGCGCGAAAGCAUGGGUAGCGAACAGGAUUAGAUACCCUGGUAGUCCAUGCCGUAAACGUUGAGUGCUAGGUGUUAGGGGGUCCAACCCUUAGUGCUGCAGUUAACGCAAUAAGCACUCCGCCUGGGGAGUACGGCCGCAAGGCUGAAACUCAAAGGAAUUGACGGGGGCCUGCACAAGCGGUGGAGCAUGUGGUUUAAUUCGACGCAACGCGAAGAACCUUACCAGGUCUUGACAUCUUCGGACAGCCCAAGAGAUUGGGUCUUCCCUUCGGGGACCGAAUGACAGGUGGUGCAUGGUUGUCGUCAGCUCGUGUCGUGAGAUGUUGGGUUAAGUCCCGUAACGAGCGCAACCCCUGAUCUUAGUUGCCAGCAUUGAGUUGGGCACUCUAGGAUGACUGCCGGUGACAAACCGGAGGAAGGCGGGGAUGACGUCAAAUCAUCAUGCCCCUUAUGACCUGGGCUACACACGUGCUACAAUGGAUGGUACAAAGGGAAGCCAAACCGCGAGGUCGAGCUAAUCCCAUAAAGCCAUUCUCAGUUCGGAUUGUAGGCUGCAACUCGCCUGCAUGAAGCCGGAAUCGCUAGUAAUCGCGGAUCAGAAUGCCGCGGUGAAUACGUUCCCAGGCCUUGUACACACCGCCCGUCACACCA
Molecule: ribosomal RNA, 1299 nt
Filed under: Alkalibacillus halophilus
Lineage: Bacteria; Bacillati; Bacillota; Bacilli; Caryophanales; Bacillaceae
Description: bacterial SSU rRNA
Rfam family: Bacterial small subunit ribosomal RNA
Source: RNAcentral